Molecule: ribosomal RNA, 427 nt
Filed under: uncultured bacterium
Lineage: Bacteria
Description: partial 16S ribosomal RNA
Rfam family: Bacterial small subunit ribosomal RNA
Source: RNAcentral
UGGGGAAUAUUGGACAAUGGGCGAAAGCCUGAUCCAGCCAUGCCGCGUGUGUGAAGAAGGUAUUCGGAUUGUAAAGCACUUUAAGUUGGGAGGAAGGGCAUUAACCUAAUACGUUAGUGCUUUGACGUUACCGACAGAAUAAGCACCGGCUAACUCUGUGCCAGCAGCCGCGGUAAUACAGAGGGUGCAAGCGUUAAUCGGAAUUACUGGGCGUAAAGCGCGCGUAGGUGGGUUGUUAAGUUGGAUGUGAAAUCCCCGGGCUCAACCUGGGAACUGCAUUCAAAACUGACUGACUAGAGUAUGGUAGAGGGUGGUGGAAUUUCCUGUGUAGCGGUGAAAUGCGUAGAUAUAGGAAGGAACACCAGUGGCGAAGGCGACCACCUGGACUAAUACUGACACUGAGGUGCGAAAGCGUGGGGAGCAAACA